Molecule: unclassified non-coding RNA, 388 nt
Filed under: Yarrowia lipolytica
Lineage: Eukaryota; Fungi; Ascomycota; Dipodascomycetes; Dipodascales
Source: RNAcentral
GAGAUAGCGACUGGAAACGCCGCCCGGUGCGUCGAUAGCUCCGCUAAACGUCGGAGACGGCUCUUGUGCCGAAAAGACACACAUUUACACUCUCUUUUGGAUCACGGCCAAAACUGACUCCAAAAGAGACGGCUUCUUUUACACCCUGAAGGGCUAAAGAGCGCGUGUUAAACACUCACAGCAGCAACCUUCACCGGCCGCGGUUCGUGUGUCUUACAAAGUCUUCGCUGUCUUACGGGAUGGCGUGGUAGAUUGCUUUAAGGAGAAAUGUGGCGAUGCUGACUGAGGACUAUUGUCUUAGUUGCAAUUGAUGCCACAUUAAACUACUGUUAUCCAUCAAUAUGGUACUUACUCUACAAUACAUUGACAAUUAUAUGCCUACCCCUCG